This 2264-nucleotide long non-coding RNA is filed under the name Gouania willdenowi (blunt-snouted clingfish). RNAcentral describes it as "lncRNA (ENSGWIG00000002495.1)". Lineage: Eukaryota; Metazoa; Chordata; Actinopteri; Blenniiformes; Gobiesocidae. The record is from RNAcentral.
AUAAUCAUACAAUUGAAAGGAGCAUAGGGCAGGAUUUGAGAAAAAAAAUUAACAUUAAUUAACAUUUUUUCUGAUACUAAAGGGUGAUGAAGUGCUCUAAACCAAAGAGAAUGAGAUCACACGCAUUUCUACCCAUUGCCUUGAAAAGAUUGUGUGAUACAUUUUGUACUUUUAUUACGGGUACGAACAGCAGUACUGUUCCGCUGAUGGUGACGUCAAAUGACGCUGGUGCGCAUUCACGACGGCUUGGAGAGGCGUCCCAAUAGCGUUGUUUUGACCAAAUCGUCACACACGAGGAAAAGAGAAGAGAGACUUGAGUCCAAAACUGGAUUAAAAGAGACCAAAUACUGGUGGUUUUAAUUUGAAAAAAUAUCAGCAGGAAGAUCCUCCUGGAUGAUAAAACCUCCAUGGGGGGGUUCAGAGAGUGUUUUGAAAACGAAGGAGCCACUGGGAGAAACGUAGGUCAAGUUUCCAUCAUAGACCUCAUCUACUCCACGUCUCCACAGACAGCAGACAGAAUAAAGCUCAGAGUCAGCAUGGGACCAUGGGAAGUAAACUUUCACAAGUAUUUAUUGAAGUGUAUACUUAAAGCAGAACUAAGUAACUUACACUUUGCACUCCCCCUGACGGUCCCUUUUGGUUAUGUCACUGUCGUAAAGUGUGGUUUUCUGGCCAGAGACAGCAGAGAGAGAUGAACGACCCCCAAUCACCCCGUAAACACUUAUGUUACCCUCAUGGGGACUACGAGAAUGAUUUAUUAAUGUGAAAAAGUUACUAAGUUCUGCUUUAAUGAUUAUUUACUGUUCUGUAAGACUUGAGUUUGUUUGUUUGUUUGUUUUCUUCUUCUUCUUCUAGGCGAUGUUUCUCAUUGUUUCAAUGAUUGACAGAUUUUAAGAAGGUGGAUUAAUGGGACAUCAGAACAAACAAGUGGACGUGGAGUCUCUCCAGGGAGGCGGACAACGGCGCGGACGGUGCCUGGACGCCUGCCUGGUGGUGUCGGUGCUGCUUCUGUUUGUGGCUGUUGCCGCUGUGGCUGUGGGAGGAUUCAUGGCUGUGAUGGAGCUCCGAAGUCAACUGGAAGCCUCUCGUUUGAAACUGGAACCUGUGGGGUCCAAGUUGAACCAAGUAGCGGAUAAUCCAACAUUUAAGAUGCAAAACUUUGCCUACUUGGAAGCGACCUCAGGUCAGCUGACUUCAAACUCCACAAUGCGCUUGGAUCUCAUCAAACAUGGCGAUGGAACGUCUGUUGGGAGUAACUUCAUCUUUGAUUCUGAGCAGCAUUCACUGACACCAAAGCAAGAGGGGAGCUUCUUUGUGUACAUCAAUCUCCACCUCACCUGUAUAUUCAACUGUUCAGCCGGCCUUCUCAGAGUGCAGGUUGGAGAUAAGCUGACAUGCGAGGUGGAACUUCCAUCACAUUCCAGGACUGUGACUAAGAAGUGCUGGACUGUGACAUGGAUGGAAAGAAAGAAGCUGAUCACUCAGAUAAUGGUGCCAAAUGGAGGACUGCCCUACUGGAAGCUGGAGCUGACAGACACUGGACUGGGUGUGUUUCUGGUUGAUUAAUGAGCUGUAGUUUUACUACUGCGGGCCAUUAAAUUGAACAUCUGCAGAUCAGGAUGGAAACAGGGAGGACCUGUUAUCAUUUGUUAACAUAUGAGAAGAUGGAAAGCAAUGGACAAAUAACUUUAGUAGGAUUCUAAAGUGGAAAGGCAAAGUAAGUUGAGAAAAAAAAAACAGGAAAAAGUGUUUUCUACGAAUGAUUAAACAUCCAAAACUUGCAGGAUUGCUGCCCUCUAGGACUGAACUAAAGGAUUGAGAUCGUGGUUAAAUGCAGCUUGAUUGUUUUAGCAGUUCAACACCACAAGUCAAUUCUAAAUGACAUCUACUGUAUGAGCGAAAGCGGAUAACAAUCUCCUUUUUCUUUCCCCCCCCCCCUUCUUAGCAGUCAAACAUAUCAGCUGUUAUCUACCAAAGUCCAAUCAGUUACUGGAAUGUUGUUUGAAUUAUUUUUAUUUUGGGAGCAGACACAUUUUAAAGAAGCUGAUUCCCACUUUUUAAAGUAACAUGAUGAUGGAGGCCUCUGAAGUUUGUGUUUAAAGUACCAGUUAAUGCUUUUGUAUGUAAUAUUUAUUAAAUAUGAGACUAUUUAUGUAUUUAUAUAAUGAUUGUUUUUCUAUGUUUUCUCAAUGUUUGUACCACUACGUUGAUGAUGAUGUGCAAUACGCUGUCUUGUUUUUUAAUAAAUAAGCUCUUGACUCUCU